AGUGACAAAGAACAGAAAAAGAGAGGCUGCGAAGGAGGCUAGGAGACCGUACCGAGGGCAAGAAGAAUUGACCCGAGUCGAGUCAUACACAGAUAUGUCCACGUGUCGCAGUUCAUGUGCGCGCACGCGAUCUUAUCAGCUUGUUGCAAAAGUAGCUCAGACCUGCCCCUCUUUCUGCAUAUUUUGCUCUGACUGUAAUAAACAAGUGUCCAGUGUCUCUGAUUAUCAAGUGAAGUUAUCAACAAAGACAGAGUCUGAGUGAGUUGAGUCUAGUCGAACAUGAGUUCAGAGGUCAGCACACAGCUAUGCACGAUAUUCAAUCCCCUAACCUUAACCAUGUUGAAAGGUACAAACCUAACUGAUGCCUGAGUUGUUUCACAACUACUUUAUAUAGUAUAUAGCUGAUUUCUGUCUACAAGGCUGAAUUUUGUGAGCAUAAAAUCGAGUACUCUGCGGCAGAGUACAGUGCCUCUUACAAAAUUGUAAUGGUAAGUUCUAUCUGCAAGCUCUACUCUGCCAACUCAGCUUGAAUCGUCGUGAUGACAGAUCUGUCAAUCUAUGCUCUGCUGUACUGCAUGCAUAGUUACUAGAAUGAUGUCAUGCAAUUGAAAAAUGCGCAUGUAGCCUCGAAUCCACGCCGAUUAAAAUAUGGCCUGGUGUUCAUUGCAGGGAGGUUAGUACACAUGCGCUGCACAAUUACCCAUAAUCUGGGUAAUUGUUCACGCCAGUAAAACUUUAGUAAAUGUUACCGUAAACUAGCUUGUAAUACUUGGAAUUUGUUCCGUGGUACUAUUAAUUGUUUCAAUGGCGUCGACUGAGUUUUGUGAAGCUGUGGCUUAUGCUCUUCGUUGCUAAAGGAUCUCUCACUGAAGCAAAAGCAAAAGGAGGCUAUCAUCCACCUGUAUGACAGUCAUGAUGUCUUUGCUUGGUUCCCCACGGGCUAUGGCAAGUCUUUGUGCUUCCAACUGCUCACUGAAGCGGACAAGCUCUAGAGUUGAGAGAAGUGUUGUGCUGGUGCUGUCACCACUAGUGUCUCUGAUAAUAGACCAGGUCUCAGGCCUCCGGAAUAGGGGUGUCUCUGCUGCUAUAUUGUCUGGCAACAAAGAUGUCGAGAAGGACCUCCUUGCUAGUGUGAGUGACGUGUCCGAGGGUCGGUUCUCUCUCCUCUAUAGUGCUCCCGAGGCGCUCCUUGGCAGAGAAGCGUAGAAGCAGCUCCUGGUCCAACGUCCCCUCUGUGACUCUGUAGUGGCAGUCGCUGUUGACGAAGCACACUGUGUGUAUAAGUGCGCACACAAAAACACACAGACCUUCUUCUGGAUGUGGGUAGAAAAGAGGACACAUGAGAGAUAAGAUUGAACCCCACACAUCACCCUGUUACGCUCCUUCAAGAGCCACAACGUCAUUCCUGAGACGAGGAGUUGAGAAAACAGCCCUGCAAAUGGAUUGAAGAUUUCCCCCAGCAAGUGCCUUUGAUACAGUUUGUAUUAAAUCAUCAGUAUCCAGAUGGCUGAGGACAGUCAGUCAAAGGAUACACCUUUGCAUUCAGCUGCAAGUAGUGGAGAUAUGGAAGGUGUCAAACGUCUGUUAAACUUAAAGCUUAAAGUAGACAUCAUAAAUUCUAGUGGACAGACACCUCUUCAUCUUGCUUGUGCCAAUGGGCACCUUCAUAUUGUUGAUGUCCUGGUUAAUGAGUAUGGUGCAGAUAUUGAGAUCCUCGAUGCCAAUGAGUGCAAUUCACUUGAAGUUGCUGCUAGAAGCGGUAACAUUCAGAUAUUGUUCUUUCUUGUGCUUACUGCCAUAUAUGGACAGAGACAUAGCAAGAAAUUAAGAGGAUUAUCCUCGUGUGCAGUGUGCACACUAAAACAAGACACAACAACAAUAGAACAGUUGUUAUUAAAAUACUAUCGUGAUACUCAAGCUAAGGAGGAAACUGGAACGUUGUUACUCGCAAAGUUUAGUGAUGUGUUUACGAAUGCUGAAAAUAAUUAUAGCAAUUUCUAUCCGCCUUUCUUAGCAGCUACACUUGGUCUUACAAAUGUUAUAGACGUCUUUGUUCAUGAAUAUGGCUGUGACAUUAAUAUCAAGGGAUUUAUAGGCUUAACCAUUCUCCAUGGGGCUUGCUUUGGAGGACAUGUUCAAAUGGUGCAAAAGCUUAUUGGUGAGCAUGACAUUGACCCGCAUACAACUACUAACGACAAUGAGUCAAUUCUCCAUUAUGCGACUUUGGGAGGUAGUAUUGAUAUGGUUUCUUCACUGAUUGCAAAUUAUGGGCUACACAUUAACAAGUUUUAUGACUCACCCCUUAGUGUAGCUGCUUUAAAUGGCCAUACAAAACUUGUUCAAGCACUGAUUGAAAAGCAUAACUGUGAUCCUUUUGCAACCAGUCAUCGCGGUUCUACUCUUCUUCAUCAUGCAUGUGCCUCUGGAGAAAUACCACUUGUUAAUGAGCUUGUAAGAAAGUAUCAGCUAGACAUAGCAACCAAAGAUGAGGCAGGCUUUACGCCACUACAUACAGCUGCUUGUCAAGGACGAACAAAAGUAGUGGUACAUAUUAUUAGCAUACUUCAGGCAAAUGUUAAUGCUGUUACUGAUAGAAAUGAAAGUGCAUUGAGUCUUGCUACUCAACACGGCCACACAAAUUUAGUUCAUAAACUUAUAAAAGGCUAUAACUGCAACCCUCGUGUCAAAGGCUUUGAAGGCAGAACUCUUCUUCACUAUGCCACUCAAGGUGGCCACAUUGAACUAAUCGACAUGCUGAUAACUGACUACAACCUUGAUUUGAAGAUUAGAGAUGAUAACGGCUAUACACUUUUACAUUUUGCCGCCAGCUAUGGCCAGUUUGGAGCAUUGCAGCACUUAGCUCAAACAGAAACAAUAGACAUUGAUUGUCUCAGUAACAAUGGUUUUACACCACUUCAUCUGGCUGCACUGAAAGGGCAUAAUCAUAUCUUGCAUGUUCUAAUAGAAGAGUUUAGCAGCAAUCCCUUUGCUAAAGGGUAUGUGGGCCGAACAAUUCUUGAUUAUGCUUGUCAAAAUGGAGACAAUGAGUUAGUGGACGAAAUAAUAGCUAAGCAUGGACUCAAUCCAAUGGCAGAAACUGAUUAUAAAAAUACUCCUCUGCACAUUGCUGCUAGACACGGGCAAGUUUCAACAGUCAAACAUCUAAUCACAAAGCACCAUGUUAAAGUUGAUUGCCGUAACAGCCAACAGCGUACUCCUUUGGAUGAGGCAGUGCUAUAUGGACACAAAAAUGAAGUGGAUUUAUUUUUAAAAGAAUUUACCUCUGAUCCUCAUGUCAAAGGCUUUGAAGGCAGAACUCUUCUUCACUAUGCCACUGAAGGUGGCCACAUUGAACUAAUCGACAUGCUGAUAACUGACUACAACCUUGAUUUGAGGGUUAGAGAUGAUAACGGCCAUACACUUCUACAUUUUGCCGCCAGCUAUGGCCAGUUUGGAGCAUUGCAGCACUUAGCUCGAAAAAAGACAAUAGGCAUUGAUUGUCUCAAUAAAAAUGGCUGUACACCACUUCAUCUGGCAGCAUUGGAAGGACAUAACCAUAUCUUGCGUGUUCUAAUAGAAGAGUUUAACAGCAAUCCCUUCGCUAAAGGGUACGUGGGCCUAACAAUUCUUCAUUAUGCUUGUCAAAAUGGUGAUAUUGAGUUAGUGGACGAAAUAAUAGCUAAGUAUAGACUCAAUCCAAUGACAGAAACUGAUAAUCAAAAUACUCCGCUGCACAUUGCUGCUAGGCACGGGAAAGUUGCAACAGUCAAACAUUUAAUCACAAAGUACCAUGUUGAAGUUGAUUGCCUCAACAAUGAACAGCGUACUCCUUUGUGUGUGGCAGUACUAUAUAGACACAAAAAUGUAAUGGAUUUACUUUUAAAAGAAUUUACCUCUGAUCCUCAUGUCAAAGGCUUUGAAGGCAGAACUCUUCUUCACUAUGCCACUGAAGGUGGCCACAUUGAACUAAUUGAUACUCUGGUAACAGACUACAACCUUGAUUUGAGGGUUAGAGAUGAUAACGGCCAUACACUUCUACAUGUUGCCACCAUCUAUGGCCAGUGUAAAGCAUUGCAGCACUUAGCUCAAACAGAAACAAUAGACAUUGAUUGUCUCGAUAACAAUGGCUCUACACCACUUCAUCUGGCUGCACUGAAAGGGCAUAAUCAUAUCUUGCGUGUUUUAAUAAAAGAGUUUAGCAGCAAUCCCUUUGCUAAAGGGUAUGUGGGCCAAACAAUUCUUCAUUAUGCCUGUCAAAAUGGUGAUAAUGAGUUAGUGGACGAAAUAAUAGCUAAGUAUGGACUCAAUCCAAUGGCAGAAACUGAUUAUCAAAAUACUCCUCUGCACAUUGCUGCUAGACACGGGAAAGUUGUAACAGUCAAACAUUUAAUCACAAAACACCAUGUUAAAGUUGAUUUCCUCAACAAUCAUCAGUGUACUCCUUUGUGUGUGGCAGUGCUGUAUGGGCACAAAAAUGUAAUGGAUAUACUCAUAAAAGAAUUUGCCUCUGAUCCUCAUGUCAAAGGCUUUGAAGGCAAAACUCUUCUUCACUAUGCCACUGAAGGUGGCCACAUUGAACUAAUUGAUACUCUGGUAACAGACUACAACCUUGAUUUGAGGGUUAGAGAUGACAACGGCCAUACACUUCUACAUUUUGCCGCCAGCUAUCGCCAGUGUAAAGCAUUGCAGCACUUAGCUCGAACAGAAACAAUAAACAUUGAUUGUCUCAGUAAAAAUGGCUCUACACCACUUCAUCUGGCAGCAUUGGAAGGGCAUAAUCAUAUCUUGCGUGUUCUAAUUGAAGAGUUUAACAGCAAUCCCUUUGCUAAAGGGUAUCUGGGCCGAACAAUUCUUCAUUAUGCCUGUCAAAAUGGUGAUAAUGAGUUAGUGGACGAAAUAAUAGCUAAGUAUAGACUCAAUCCAAUGACAACAACUGAUAAUCAAAAUACUCCGCUGCACAUUGCUGCUAGGCACGGGCAAGUUCCAACAGUUAAACAUUUAAUUACUAAGUACCAUGUUAAAGUUGAUUGCCUCAACAGUCAGCAGUGUACUCCUUUGUGUGUGGCAGUGCUAUAUGGACACAAAAAUGUAAUGGAUUUGCUCAUAAAUGAAUUUACCUCUGAUCCUUAUGUUAAAGGCUUUGAAGGCAAAACUCUUCUUCACUAUGCCACUCAAGGUGGCCACAUUGAACUAAUUGAUGCUCUGAUAACUGACUACAACCUUGACUUGAUGGUUAGAGAUGAUAACGGCCAUACACUUCUACAUGUUGCUGCCAUCUAUGGCCAGUGUAAAGCAUUGCAACACUUAUCUCAGAAAAAAAAAAUAGACAUUGAUUGUCUCGAUAACAAUGGCUCUACACCACUUCAUCUGGCAGCAUUAGAAGGACAGAACCAUACCUUGCGUGUUCUAAUAGAAGAGUUUAACAGCAAUCCCUUUGCUAAAGGGUACCUGGGCCGAACAAUUCUUCAUUAUGUGUGUAAAAAUGGUGAUAUUGAGUUAGUGGACGAAAUAAUAGCUAAGUAUGGACUCGAUCCAAUGACAGAAACUGAUUAUCGAAAUACUCCUCUGCACAUUGCUGCUAGUCACGGGCAAGUUGCAACAGUCAAACAUUUAAUCACAAAGUAUUAUGUUAAAGUUAAUUGGCGUAACAACCAACAGUGUACUCCUUUGGAUGUGGCAGUACUAUAUGGACACAAAAAUGUAAUGGAUUUGCUCAUAAAAGAAUUUACCUCUGAUCCUCAUGUCAAAGGCUUUGAAGGCAGAACUCUUCUUCACUAUGCCACUGAAGGUGGCCACAUCGAACUAAUUGAUGCUCUGAUAACUGACUACAACCUUGAUUUGAUGGUUAGAGAUGAUAAUGGCCAUACACUUCUACAUGUUGCUGCCAUCUAUGGCCAGUGUAAAGCAUUGCAGCACUUAGCUCGAACAGAAACAAUAGACAUUGAUUGUCUCGAUAACAAUGGUUCUACACCACUUCAUCUGGCAGCAGUAGAAGGACAAAACCACAUGUUGCAUGUUCUAAUAGAAGAGUUUAAUAGUAACCCCUUUACUGGAAUUCUUCAUUGGGCCUGUCAAAAUGGUGAUAAUGAGUUAGUAGACAAAAUAAUAAUUAAGUAUGAACUUGAUCCAAUGACAAAAACUGAUCAUCAAAAUACUCCUCUGCACAUUGCUGCUAAGCACGGGCAAGUUGCAACAGUCAAACAUUUAAUCACAAAGUACCAUGUUAAAGUUGAUUACCUCAACAACCAGCAGCGUACUCCUUUGGAUGAGGCAGUGCUAUAUGGGCACAAAAAUGUAAUGGAUUUACUCAUAAAAGAAUGUGCCUCUGAUCCUCAUGUCAAAGGUUUUCAGGGCAGAACUCUUCUUCACUAUGCUACUGAAGGUGGCCACAUCAAACUAAUUAACGCACUGAUAACUGACUACAACCUUAACCUGAUGAUAAGGGAUGAUAAUGGUGAUACACUUCUACAUGUUGCCGCCAGCUAUGGGCAAUUUGAAGUAGUGCAACACUUAGCUCGAAAAGCAAUAGCCAUUGAUUGUGUCAAUAACAAUGGCUCUACACCUCUUCAUCUAGCAGCAUUGAAAGGACAUCAACAUACUGUGCAAUUAUUUGUGAAAGAGUUGAAGUGUAACUCUAACAUCACGAAUAAUACAGGCAUGACUAUUCUGCACUAUGCCUGUCAGAGUGGUAACAUAGGCUUGAUUGAUUACUGUGUAGCUGAAUGUGAACUCAAAUCAACAAUUCAAGACGACCUUGGCAACACAAGUCUGCAUUUAGCUGCUUUCAUAGGGCAGAACAAAGUAAUAGAACAUCUUAUUAGCAAAUACUCAGUAAAAGUUGAUAUUCGUAACAAAGAAAAUGCUACUCCGCUGUGUCUUGCAGCCGAAAAGGGACAUCGAAGUACUCUGAAAAUAUUGAUACAACAAUAUAGGUCUAACAAAUUUGUUAAAGGCUUGAAAGGUAUGACUCUCCUCCAUUAUGCAUGUGCCAGUGGACCUGUUGAAUUGAUAGAUGAUCUUAUCAUAGAGCAUGAGCUAAACCGCCAUGCAAAAGAUGAUGAUGGAAAUACAGCUCUUCAUUUAGCUGCUUUCCAGAAUCAAAUUAAAAUAUGUAAGCAUUUAAUUACCAAACGUAAAUUGAAUGUUAACGAUUGCAACAAUGAAACCUCUACUCCAUUGUGUUUAGCUGCUCUAUGUGGUCACACAGAUUUGGUAUGCAUGAUGAUUGAGGAAUUAAACUGUGAUCCUCUUAUUAAAGGUUUCCGGGGCAGAGGAAUUCUACAUUAUGCUUGUCAAGGUGGACAUACCGAUCUAAUAAAAACAUUGAUUGAAAGUUAUAAUCUCAACCCAACAACUAUAGAUGAUUAUGGCGAUACUAUAGUGCACAUGGUUGCUCAAAAUGGACACAUCUGUGCAAUGCAGUAUUUUAAAAAUGAGCUUAAUGUUGAGAUGGAUAGUCGCAACAAGGCAAUGGUCACUCCUUUGUUUCUAGCAGCUCAGAAUGGACAUGUUGAAUUAGUGAGAUUCCUAUUAAGAGAGCUUAAAUGUGAUCCAAAUGUCAAAACCCUUAAGAAGGAGACACUUCUGCAUUUUGCCUGUGCUCAAUCGGAACCAGUUUUGCUGAUUGAGCUGAUUUCUGAGUUCAAACUUAAUCCUUUAGCUGAAGAUGACAAUGGUAAUACUGCUUUACACAUGGCAGCUCAGUCUGGACAUGACCAACUUGUAAUAUUACUAGUCUCCAAAUUUGGACUCUCUGUCGAUGCAAAAAAUCAUAAUGGUACCUCACCAUUGCACUUAGCUGCUAAAAAUGGACAUUCAAAGGUUGUUGAUGCACUCAUUAAUGAUCUGUGUUGUAAGUUAGAUGAUUGCAACAAAAACGGUCAAACAGUACUGCACAUUGCUUGCUUUUUCGGCAACUUACUGCUUGUUAAGAUGUUAGUAACUGUUUACAAAAUGUCUAUUUUGUCUGUUGACUCGAAUGGGAACACACCUCUCCACCUCGCAACUAUUGGUGGACAUAGCAGUUGCGUGGAGCUACUCUUGUUUACAUUCAAUGCCCCAGUUUUUGUGAGAAAUAAAUGUGGACUUACUGCUAUGGAGGUUGCUAAGUCUAUAAUGCCGCCGAAAGUGUUUAUAUAUGCACUGUAUAAACGAUACAUGAAAGAGCAAAAUUCUCAUAUCCAGCUCACCUACCAAGAACAUGAAACACUGGUUAGAAAACAGUAUAGUGGACACAAGCAUCUCGGAAGGUUAUUGUUAAUGGGGCACCCAGCAGCAGGAAAAACGACUCUUAUCGAAACAUUAAAAAGAAAAGGGAUUCUAAACAAAGUGUUUGGACGUACAACGGUAGUUGCACCUCACACAGCCGGCAUUGUUUCUAGCACGCUUGAUAGUGACCAGUUUGGGCGGAUGAUCUUCUUUGAUUUUGCAGGUGACCCUGAAUACUACUCUUCACAUGCUGCUAUCUUCGAGAAUUUGGAUACCACAAAAGGUGUGAACAUCUUUCUGAUUGUGUGUGAUUUAGCUCAAAACAAAGACAUUCUAAUCACCAGAUAUGGUUAUUGGCUUUCCUUUUUAAGUUACAAUACUCGUCAAUCAAGUACACCAGUAUUAGUUUUGCCAGUUGGAAGCCAUGCAGACAUGAUUAAAAAGGAUACUGCUUCCGAGAAACUUUCUUUACUGAAUAAAGUUUCCAGUCGAUUCAUUUCUACUAGUACUGUUAACAUGCUACAUAUCAAAGAAAGUAUUGCUCUAGAUUGUCGUACAACAGGGAGUAUUGUAGACAGCAUCAAAGAAAUAGUGAGAGAAACAUCGUCCUCGGUGCCUCCAGUUGGACUUAGCCUUGAAAGUACUGUUCUUCUCGGUUUACUGUUGAAAGACUUUGCACUUGUCCCGGCAUGCACUCUUAAAACAAUUGUUUCGCAUAUCGAGGAGCUAGUCCAUUUUCCACUCUGUAAUGUCCUCAAAAAUUUGCGACCUCCUUAAAGAACUACACGAGUUUGGUCUGAUACUGCUUAUCACGAAACAUUUUGUAUCACUUGAAGACUAUUGGGUUGUCUUGAAUGUAUCAACACUCACAUCUGAAGUGCAUAGCAAACUAUUUUCUUCAACUGCUAUGACCGAGUUGACAAGUGAUGUAGAUCAACUAAAACUAAGUGUUGGCAUCAUUCCUGAAUCGCUGCUAGAGAAAUUACUACCGGAUUACAUUACAAAGGAAUGCCUGAUUCAACUCCAAUAUUGUCAAGUAAUCGAUGAUAUUCAUGUUGAUGACGAUCACACUUUAACACAAGUGCACUCGGAUGAGAGACCUUCACGGAAGUCACUUCUUUUUUUCCCAGCUCUUUGUAAGCUGAAUUUAGAAGAAAUCUCCUGGCCAACCAACACUGACAGACAAUGUGCUCUUGGAUGGUAUGCAAAAUGUGCUAACAAUAAUUUUGACUACUUUCCUUCACGCUUUCUACAUGUACUGAUAGUUUGACUAUCUUUGAGUUUUGCACUAAAACAAAGACUUCCAACUAAUCAUAGCCUGGUGAGCAGUCUUUCAGAUAGUAUCUGCUCCUCAUCAACUUCCUUGAGCAGUAUUGCCACAACAGCUGAUAUUAGUGAUAUGGAAUCGAGUUUAUUCGAGGUACACACCUUUAAUCGUCGUUGCCAUGUCUGGACAACUGGCCUUCACUGGCUAAUGGAAAACGGAGUGGAGGUUUUUGUUGACAUGCCCAAAGAUGCAGGCAAUAAAGGACUAGUGGUAGUCACUAGAAGUAGCAAUGACUGUCGAGCUGAGUGUGCAAAUACUUUGCAGAAAGUUAUUCAGAAAAUAGUCGAAGCUAAAGUCGAAUUUUGUCAUAGUGUUUCACCUGCCGUGUAUCUACUUGAUCCAGCCAAGCUCAGGGACACGUCUUUCAUAAAUGCUAGAGACGUGCCGCUGUAUACACUAAGUGAUGUUGCAGCAGCACUUGCUGAAAGCUACAAAAAAGCAGUCAGCAUUGACGGACAUCAUUUCUCCUCCCCUGCAGAGUUUACUAGUCUAACACGAUGGACAAUGUCCUACUGGAAUAUCUUAUUUCCAAUGGAUACCAGUGACGUAGAUGGUGCUAUAACAGAAAUUUCUGGAACUAAUUGGAAGCUUCUGGGGAUAAAUCUCGGCAUUCCUCUCAAAGAUCUUGAAAACAUUGACUCUGAGACUAUAAAGAUCAAGAACAAAAAGGCUGAGAUGAUCCAAAUUUGGAUGACAGGUGAAAAUAGGCCUACAUGGCCAGGUCUUGUUGACUCACUCAGGAGUCAAUCAAUUUUGUUGAAUCAAGCAGCAGAGAGGGUAUCUAUGGAGCAUCAAGUCCCGCUGCAAAGAAUAAUCCUUGAUAAAAGCAAGUCCAUCAGUCACCCAGACAUGGACUUCCUCCAAUCGUUUGCUGCCAUCAUUGGCUCUCGAUGGCAGUGUCUUGCUUCUCCCCUCUCCCUCUCCUCUGAAGAUAUUGUGAGCAUCAAGAGAGAGUCAAGAGGAGCAGAACCCACCAGACAAGCACUCGUCAUGCUGCAAAAGUGGGCAGCUAGCGACACGGCAACUUAUGGGCAGCUGCGAGAAAGACUAUGUACACUUUCAGUAUUUCAUAUUUGAUCUAUCAUCACACCAUGCACUACUGCAACAAAUAGACAUUUUCAGCAACAUGCAUUAUGUUAAUUAGUGCACUGAGCCCACACGUCAUAACAAACCCACAACAUGCACUAAUUUACAAUAGUCAUACCACAGCCUUUACAAUUGAAUAUUUAUUUUCACAGCAGUUGACACACAUCAUGUUCAUAUCACACUUUUUUAAUUUUAUUGCACAUUCUCAUGUAGUUUAUCACGUAGUUUAUGA
Halichondria panicea is the source of this 10853-nucleotide RNA transcript. RefSeq lists it as uncharacterized. The record is from RefSeq and is a predicted model, not a curated record. Lineage: Eukaryota; Metazoa; Porifera; Demospongiae; Suberitida; Halichondriidae. The transcript has 6 exons.